AGCCAUGCAUGUCUCAGUAUAAGCUUCUAUACGGUGAAACUGCGAAUGGCUCAUUAAAACAGUUACAGUUUAUUUGAUGGUCAUUCCUUACAUGGAUAACCGUGGUAAUUCUAGAGCUAAUACAUGCGCCCAAACCGGACUCCGUGGAAGGGUUGUGUUUAUUAGUUACAGAACCAACCCAGGCUCUGCCUGGUCUUGUGGUGAUUCAUAAUAACCGAACGAGUCGCAUGGCAUCAGCUGGCGAUGAAUCAUUCAAGUUUCUGACCUAUCAGCUUCCGACGGUAGGGUAUUGGCCUACCGUGGCAAUGACGGGUAACGGAGAAUUAGGGUUCGAUUCCGGAGAGGGAGCCUGAGAAGCGGCUACCACAUCUAAGGAAGGCAGCAGGCGCGCAAAGUACCCAAUCCUGACACAGGGAGGUAGUGACAAGAAAUAACAAUACAGGGCAUCCAUGUCUUGUAAUUGGAAUGAGUAGAAUUUAAAUCCCUUUAUGAGUAUCGAUUGGAGGGCAAGUCUGGUGCCAGCAGCCGCGGUAAUUCCAGCUCCAAUAGCGUAUAUUAAAGUUGUUGCGGUUAAAAAGCUCGUAGUUGGAUUUCUGCCGAGGACGACCGGUCCGCCCACUGGGUGUGUAUCUGGCUCGGCCUGGGCAUCUUCUUGGAGAACGUAGCUGCACUUGAUUGUGUGGUGCGGUAUCCAGGACUUUUACUUUGAGGAAAUUAGAGUGUUUCAAGCAGGCACACGCCUUGAAUACAUUAGCAUGGAAUAAUAAGAUAGGACCUUGGUUCUAUUUUGUUGGUUUCUAGAACUGAGGUAAUGAUUAAUAGGGAUAGUUGGGGGCAUU
This 839-nucleotide ribosomal RNA is filed under the name uncultured alveolate. Its description in RNAcentral is "SSU rRNA". It matches the Rfam family "Eukaryotic small subunit ribosomal RNA", at positions 47 to 892 of the family's 1831-position model. The record is from RNAcentral.